UGGGGAAUAUUGCACAAUGGGGGAAACCCUGAUGCAGCAACGCCGCGUGCGGGAUGACGGCCUUCGGGUUGUAAACCGCUUUCAGCCAUGACGAAGCUUUUGUGACGGUAGUGGCAGAAGAAGCACCGGCUAACUACGUGCCAGCAGCCGCGGUGAUACGUAGGGUGCGAGCGUUGUCCGGAAUUAUUGGGCGUAAAGAGCUUGUAGGCGGUUUGUCGCGUCGAAAGUGUAAACUCAGUGCUUAACGCUGAGCCUGCUUUCGAUACGGGCUGACCAGAGGAAGGUAGGGGAGAAUGGAAUUCCCGGUGGAGCGGUGGAAUGCGCAGAUAUCGGGAGGAACACCAGUGGCGAAGGCGGUUCUCUGGACCUUUCCUGACGCUGAGAAGCGAAAGCGUGGGUAGCAAACAGG
This 409-nucleotide ribosomal RNA is filed under the name bacterium. Its description in RNAcentral is "partial 16S ribosomal RNA". It matches the Rfam family "Bacterial small subunit ribosomal RNA", at positions 355 to 776 of the family's 1533-position model. The record is from RNAcentral.